RNA transcript from Columba livia (rock pigeon), 830 nucleotides. It is a transcript of the gene named small nuclear ribonucleoprotein U11/U12 subunit 25, with no coding region annotated. The record is from RefSeq and is a predicted model, not a curated record. The transcript is spliced from 7 exons. Lineage: Eukaryota; Metazoa; Chordata; Aves; Columbiformes; Columbidae.
AAGCGGUGGCAGCGCGGCCCCUCCUCGGCCACCAGCACGUUACCGCAGGCCGGGCAGAACAGCAGCAUCGCCGCUUCCGCCGGCCCGGCCGCCCCUUCCGGCGAUGGCGGCGGAGCCCGAGGAGGAGCUGGCGCACGCCGAGGUGCUGGAGCUGUUCCAGGCGGCGCUGGCGCGGCUGGUGCAGGACCCGCUGCUCUGCGACCUCCCGCCGCAGGUGACGGCGGAGGAGAUCGGCUCGCAGGUGGCGCUGGAGUACGGGCAGGCCAUGACCGUGCGCGUCUGCAAGGCGGACGGCGAGAUCGUGCCCGUGGUGGUGGUGCAGAACGCCUCGGUGCUGGACCUGAAGAAGGCGCUGCGGCGGCACGUCCAGCUGCGGCAGGCCCGGCAGGGCGGCGUGCAGCACCUCAGCUGGAAGUACAUAUGGAGGACGUACCACUUAACCUACGCUGGAGAGAAGCUGGCAGAUGACAGAAAGAAGCUGAGAGAGUACGGCAUCAGAAACCGGGAUGAGGUCAGCUUCAUAAAGAAACUUCGGAAGUAACCUGUUAGUGUAAUAAACCAUGUGUCGUGAGAGAAGCCACCCACCCCACGGUCACCUGUGGCACUGGCCGAUCCCCCUGGACUGUCCAGAGAGAGCAGAGAAUCCAGCCCUACCACGACCAGGCUGUGGAUCCAGCACGUUCUGGAGGAAAAGGUUGUAACAUUUCAAGGAGAAACAAACUCCAGGGGAAUGGACAUUCUCACGUGUUUCUUGCAGUUUGCUGUUUGAAGUGUCUGAUUCUGAGCUGUACGUGGAGUGGACUUUCACGAUUAAAGAGACCUUCUAGUUU